Engraulis encrasicolus (European anchovy) is the source of this 126-nucleotide small nucleolar RNA. RefSeq annotates it as small nucleolar RNA SNORA65. The transcript has a single exon. Lineage: Eukaryota; Metazoa; Chordata; Actinopteri; Clupeiformes; Engraulidae. The record is from RefSeq and is a predicted model, not a curated record.
CCCGCCACUGUGCCUGUCUUGUGUGUGACUGAGUUUAGUCCAGUGGAGGCUAAGAGAGACCCAGCUCUAGGAAGCAGAGCUACCCAAUCUGAUGGGUAACCCUGUGCCGAAAGAUCUGGAACAAAA